GAGAUAAGGCGCUCGCGUAGAGCUGCCGUCUAUUCUUCUCACACUGUGAAACGGACAAAACCUUUUUUCACGCCAGUGAUGAAUGUGAAGUCUUAAUAUAAAAUAUA
RNAcentral lists this unclassified non-coding RNA (107 nucleotides) under Phyllozyma dimennae. RNAcentral's name for it is "Phyllozyma dimmennae ITS 1". Lineage: Eukaryota; Fungi; Basidiomycota; Spiculogloeomycetes; Spiculogloeales; Spiculogloeaceae. The record is from RNAcentral.